UGACUAAUGAAUAUUCAAGCAACAGAAAAUGAGAUGAGUGAAUCUUCCUCUAAAAGAAUAUGGUUAGAUGCUUCAGCGUGACAUGAUGCCUGACAUGGAAGUGUGUAUGAAGCAAAGGUGUGUCACUGAAUUCCUCCACAUGGAAAAAAUAGCCCCCACUGAGUGAGGCGCUGGGUGGUGUAUUUCAGUAGUGGUGAUGGAGAACAGUGGAUUACCUCCACUGGUGCAGAUUUUUACGAGCAUGUCAUACAGGCUCUUGUUCAUUGCUGGUGAAAAUGCAUAGCUCAUGGUGGAGACUGGGUUGAAAAAAAGUGUUUUGUAGCUGAGAAUCAAACAAUGUUAUUGUGCUUUUUUUAUCAGUUGUAGUUUUGAUGGAAAUAAAUAGAAGGC
Molecule: long non-coding RNA, 390 nt
Organism: Gallus gallus (chicken)
Lineage: Eukaryota; Metazoa; Chordata; Aves; Galliformes; Phasianidae
Source: Ensembl